GAUGAACGCUGGCGGCGUGCUUAACACAUGCAAGUCGAACGGAAAGGCCCAAGCUUGCUUGGGUACUCGAGUGGCGAACGGGUGAGUAACACGUGGGUGAUCUGCCCUGCACUUCGGGAUAAGCCUGGGAAACUGGGGCUAAUACCGGAUAGGACGAUGGGUUGGAUGCCAUUGUGGAAAGGUUUUUCGGUGUGGGAUGAGCUCGCGGCCUAUCAGCUUGUUGGUGGGGGAAUGGCCUACCGAGGCGUCGACGGGUGGCCGGCCUGAGAGGGUGUAGGGCCACAUUGGGACUGGGGUACGGCCCAGACUCCUACGGGAGGCAGCAGGGGGGAAUAUUGCACAAUGGGCGCAAGCCUGAUGCAUCGACGCCGCGUGGGGGAUGACGGCCUUCGGGUUGUAAACUCCUUUCGCUAGGGACGAAGCGUUUUUGUGACGGUACCUGGAGAAGAAGCACCGGCUAACUACGUG
Molecule: ribosomal RNA, 468 nt
Filed under: uncultured bacterium
Lineage: Bacteria
Description: partial 16S ribosomal RNA
Rfam family: Bacterial small subunit ribosomal RNA
Source: RNAcentral